RNAcentral lists this ribosomal RNA (953 nucleotides) under uncultured marine bacterium. RNAcentral's name for it is "bacterial SSU rRNA". It matches the Rfam family "Bacterial small subunit ribosomal RNA", at positions 56 to 1070 of the family's 1533-position model. The record is from RNAcentral.
UGCAGUCGAACGACAUAGUGGCAGACGGGUGAGUAACGCGUGGAAACAUGCCCUUCACUACGGAAUAGCUUUUGGAAACGAAAGGUAAUACCGUAUACGCCCUCCGGGGGAAAGAUUUAUCGGUGAAGGAUUGGUCCGCGUUAGAUUAGCUAGUUGGUGGGGUAAUGCCCCACCAAGGCGACGAUCUAUAGCUGGUCUGAGAGGAUGAUCAGCCACACUGGGACUGAGACACGGCCCAGACUCCUACGGGAGGCAGCAGUGGGGAAUAUUGGACAAUGGGCGCAAGCCUGAUCCAGCCAUGCCGCGUGAAUGAUGAAGGCCUUAGGGUUGUAAAAUUCUUUCGCCAGGGAUGAUAAUGACAGUACCUGGUAAAGAAGCCCCGGCUAACUUCGUGCCAGCAGCCGCGGUAAUACGAAGGGGGCUAGCGUUGUUCGGAAUUACUGGGCGUAAAGCGCGCGUAGGCGGACUUUUAAGUCAGGUGUGAAAUCCCGAGGCUCAACCUCGGCACUGCAUUUGAAACUGGGAGUCUAGAGUUCAGGAGAGGUUAGCGGAAUACCGAGUGUAGAGGUGAAAUUCGUAGAUAUUCGGUGGAACACCAGUGGCGAAGGCGGCUAACUGGACUGAUACUGACGCUGAGGUGCGAAAGUGUGGGGAGCAAACAGGAUUAGAUACCCUGGUAGUCCACACCGUAAACGAUGAGUGCUAGUUGUCUGCAGGCAUGCCUGUAGGUGACGCAGCUACGCAUUAAGCACUCCGCCUGGGGAGUACGGCCGCAAGGUUAAAACUCAAAGAAAUUGACGGGGGCCCGCACAAGCGGUGGAGCAUGUGGUUUAAUUCGAAGCAACGCGCAGAACCUUACCUACCCUUGACAUGCCCGGCUACAUCCAGAGAUGGAUGGUUCCUUCGGGACCGGUGCACAGGUGCUGCAUGGCUGUCGUCAGCUCGUGUCGUGA